AACCUUCUUUUAUUUUUAAAAGAUAUUCUUGUCUCUUACUAAAGCUUCCUGUUCAAACUCUGGCUGAGAAUUUUUGCUGCUUCUUUCCCUACCUCCUCAUUUCCGAAGAACUGAGGUUAAACCAUGACCACUCCUCGAGGCCUUCCCUGGAGAUUCGGGCUCAUAGAUUCCUCUUUCUCUGAAUUCUAAAGUACUUAUGGAAGAUUCAGCAGAUAAUUUUUAAUGAAUUAAAUUUUAAUACAUCAAAUUACUUCAUAAUAAAAUUUAAUAAAA
Molecule: non-coding RNA, 273 nt
Filed under: Pongo abelii (Sumatran orangutan)
Lineage: Eukaryota; Metazoa; Chordata; Mammalia; Primates; Hominidae
Source: RNAcentral